UAUGCCGAUAAAGUUGGAAUGAUACAGAGAAGAUUAGUAUGGCCCUACUCAAGGAUGACACACAAAUCGAUACAUGAUAUACGAAUACAGAAUAUUUUU
Molecule: non-coding RNA, 99 nt
Organism: Cucumis sativus (cucumber)
Lineage: Eukaryota; Viridiplantae; Streptophyta; Magnoliopsida; Cucurbitales; Cucurbitaceae
Source: Rfam